UCCGAGUUGACCCCGGCAGUCUCCUACGAGUCCCCGGCAUUACCCGCUGGCAACAUAGGACAAGGGUUGCGCUCGUUGCGGGACUUAACCCAACAUCUCACGACACGAGCUGACGACAGCCAUGCACCACCUGUGCUGGGCCCCGAAGGACACCACAUCUCUGUAGCUUUUCCCAGCAUGUCAAACCCAGGUAAGGUUCUUCGCGUUGCCUCGAAUUAAGCAACAUGCUCCGCUGCUUGUGCGGUCCCCCGUCAAUUCCUUUGAGUUUUAGCCUUGCGGCCGUACUCCCCAGGCGGGGCACUUAAUGCGUUAGCUGCGGCACGGAUCCCGUUGAUAAGGACCCACACCUAGUGCCCAACGUUUACGGCGUGGACUAC
This 377-nucleotide unclassified non-coding RNA is filed under the name uncultured Acidimicrobiia bacterium. RNAcentral describes it as "contains 16S-23S intergenic spacer region". Lineage: Bacteria; Bacillati; Actinomycetota; Acidimicrobiia. The record is from RNAcentral.